UAAACAGAAUAUCUCCGAGUCUGUAAUUCCUGCCAGAGAAAAUCUAAUGGAAUACAGAACGAUAGGGUAUUAUUAGAAAUAAUAGUGCCUCCCAUUUGGAAAGGAGACUGAUGAUAUGCUUA
This 122-nucleotide non-coding RNA is filed under the name Andreesenella formicacetica. RNAcentral's name for it is "Clostridium formicaceticum MoCo sequence". It matches the Rfam family "Molybdenum/Tungsten riboswitch aptamer (Moco RNA motif)". The record is from RNAcentral. Lineage: Bacteria; Bacillati; Bacillota; Clostridia; Peptostreptococcales; Natronincolaceae.